CUGUCUCUCCUUUUCCGGACUUGCCUUGUGCUGACUGCCGGGUACCGGUGUGGACAUGCCCAAAUACAGCUAAAAUCCCAACCGAUUCAGUCACUCGUCGGCUGACUGGGUUUCACCCUUGAACUCCCAACGUUGUUGCUUUGAACUGCAGCAGCAGGCGCUGCUGAGGCGUUCUUCUUCCUCAUCCAAGCAAAAAUGCCUACCAACCCAACCAGCAGCGCCUGCGAUUGCGUUGUAAAGUGUUGAGUUCUUGUUCACAGAGAAGUAGGCGUUGGUUGCUUGGAUCGGCACGAGAAAUGCACCGCCUGUGGGAAGCUUCCGAGCGAAGCGGCAAAGAGCCCAGAGUAGAAGAAAUUUCAACCAGAAAAGCAACGGACUCCCUAACUACCGGCUUUUUUCUACAUAUGUUUGAUUGUAGACGUGUGCACUUGACAUUGAAGCGAAUUGAGAACGCAGAAACCGGCAGUUUUGUCUACAGGGGACGGACGACGACGUUAGUAGUCGUUGCUGUUUGGCUCAAGUGCGACCAAACCAUAUGCAAGCGGAUUACCAGAUAAACGUACACCAGCAAACCGGGGCCACAUGGUGCCAUAAACAAGAGGGAAAACGGGAACCGAGUAGCAGGUUGUGAAGUGCGGGUCCAACCCGGCAAAGAAUGCAGUUGUUGGCUUGCGGUAGAGCGCAGAGACACGGGCGCGGCUGAGGAGUCUACACGCGAGAGAGAAAUUAUUACAGCGCGACCGCACAUGUGGCAAAUUAUGCCGGUACAAACUGCCGCAGAGUAAUUCCCAAUUAUAUUGAGGACUGUUUUUCUUCGCUUUGGAAACCACCAACGAACAACACCGAAAAAAUUGACGCUAUGCCGUAAUAGUGCAACGCGAAGCAGCCUGCUGUGAUGUGCAUCAACCAACAACAGCAACGAAAGGCGACGGAGGAGGCCGGUAGUGUGCCUUCGAAACUGAGCAGGCUGUGAGAUUGGGGCUCAUCAUCGCCAUCAGUGCCGCGGAACGUAUCUCGGCGCUGGCUCGUGACGUGAAAGUCGCGGUAAGAGUGGAUCGAAUUAACGCGUUUAGGAACCAUCACCUGGGCCGUGAUUUUACUCUGCCUCAAAAUUAGGGCCAUCUGUUAUCGCGGAGGAAACAAAAGGUUAAGUUUGAUUAUCGGUCGCAAACAAUCUCAACGCCCAUGCCAGCCGUAAACACCAGUCUCGAAUACUUUCACGGCCAAUUAGUAACACAGGUGGAAAUCGAAGCAAAAAAUUAAACUAUUUGUAAACAGAACCCUCUCGGAAGUCUAUCUCGGCGCCGCCAAUGGAUGAGGACGGACGACGACUCGACCGGAUACGAUCGGUGAGCGAGCAUCAUCCGGCAUGGUCUGGUGAGCGCUUGGAAUUGUGAGACCGUACAUGACGGCUACUGCAUCUGCAUACAAAAGUGAACCACAGACAAAUGGACGUGACACUGACGAAAGUUUCAUAAACCAUUACAAAUUCGCUAUGUUUUAAAACUCAAAA
Aedes aegypti (yellow fever mosquito) is the source of this 1513-nucleotide long non-coding RNA. RefSeq lists it as uncharacterized. The transcript has 3 exons. The record is from RefSeq and is a predicted model, not a curated record. Lineage: Eukaryota; Metazoa; Arthropoda; Insecta; Diptera; Culicidae.